RNAcentral lists this ribosomal RNA (669 nucleotides) under uncultured archaeon. Its description in RNAcentral is "bacterial SSU rRNA". It matches the Rfam family "Archaeal small subunit ribosomal RNA", at positions 319 to 993 of the family's 1478-position model. The record is from RNAcentral.
UCCCUACGGGGUGCAGCAGGCGCGCAAACUUUACAAUGCGAGCAAUCGUGAUAAGGAAACCCUGAGUGCCUGUCGAUGCAGGCUGUUCAUAUAUCUAAAUCAUAUGUGAAGAAAGGGCAGGGCAAGACCGGUGCCAGCCGCCGCGGUAAUACCGGCUGCUCGAGUGAUGGCCACUAUUACUGGGUUUAAAGCGUCCGUAGCUUGACUGUUAGGUCUCUUGGGAAAUCUUCACGCUCAACGUGAAGGCGUCUAAGAGAUACCGGCAGUCUUGGAACUGGGAGAGGUAAACCGUACUUCGGGGGUAGGAGUGAAAUCUUGUAAUCCUCGAGGGACGACCUAUGGCGAAGGCAGUUUACCAGAACAGCUUCGACAGUGAGGGACGAAAGCUGGGGGAGCAAACGGGAUUAGAUACCCCGGUAGUCCCAGCCGUAAACAAUGUGCGUUAGGUGUGUCGGUAACCACGUGUUACUGAUGCGCCGAAGAGAAAUCGUGAAACGCACCACCUGGGAAGUACGGUCGCAAGGCUGAAACUUAAAGGAAUUGGCGGGGGAGCACCACAACAGGUGGAGCCUGCGGUUUAAUUGGAUUCAACGCCGGACAUCUCACCGGAUAAGACAGCUGAAUGAUUGUCAAUCUGAAGGUUUUACAUGACUAGCUGAGAGGAGGUGC